RNAcentral lists this transfer RNA (75 nucleotides) under Alphaproteobacteria bacterium. Its description in RNAcentral is "tRNA-Phe". It matches the Rfam family "tRNA". Rfam says of the family: Transfer RNA (tRNA) molecules are approximately 80 nucleotides in length. Their secondary structure includes four short double-helical elements and three loops (D, anti-codon, and T loops). The record is from RNAcentral. Lineage: Bacteria; Pseudomonadati; Pseudomonadota; Alphaproteobacteria.
GCCAGAUAGCUCAGUUGGUAGAGCAAGGGACUGAAAAUCCCUGUGUCGGCGGUUCGAUCCCGUCCCCAGGCACCA